This 292-nucleotide ribosomal RNA is filed under the name uncultured bacterium. Its description in RNAcentral is "partial 16S ribosomal RNA". It matches the Rfam family "Bacterial small subunit ribosomal RNA", at positions 505 to 796 of the family's 1533-position model. The record is from RNAcentral.
GUGUCAGCAGCCGCGGUAAUACGGAGGGUGCGAGCGUUGUCCGGAUUUAUUGGGUUUAAAGGGUGCGUAGGUGGCUUGUUAAGUCAGUGGUGAAAUACAGCCGCUCAACGGUUGAGGUGCCAUUGAUACUGAUAAGCUUGAAAGAAUUGGAGGCUGCCGGAAUGGAUGGUGUAGCGGUGAAAUGCAUAGAUAUCAUCCAGAACACCGAUUGCGAAGGCAGGUGGCUACGAUUUAUUUGACACUGAGGCACGAAAGCAUGGGGAGCAAACAGGAUUAGAUACCCUAGUAGUCC